UACGUAGGGGGCAAGCGUUGUCCGGAAUCAUUGGGCGUAAAGCGCGUGUAGGCGGGACGGCAAGUCGGUCGUGAAAGGCUUCGGCUCAACCGGAGAUGGCCGAUCGAAACUGCCGUUCUUGAGGGUCGAAGAGGAGAGUGGAAUUCCUGGUGUAGCGGUGAAAUGCGUAGAGAUCAGGAGGAACACCCAUGGCGAAGGCAGCUCUCUGGUCGACCUCUGACGCUGAGACGCGAAAGCGUGGGGAGCGAACGGG
This 253-nucleotide ribosomal RNA is filed under the name uncultured bacterium. RNAcentral describes it as "partial 16S ribosomal RNA". It matches the Rfam family "Bacterial small subunit ribosomal RNA", at positions 524 to 776 of the family's 1533-position model. The record is from RNAcentral.